UGUGACAUCGUUUUACGGCCGCGGUAUCUUGACCGUGCGAAGGUAGCGCAAUCACUUGUCUUUUCAAUGGGGACCUGUAUGAAUGGCAUACCGAGGGCUUACCUGUCUCCUUUUUCAAGUCAAUCAAAUUCAUCUCCCCGUGCAGAAGCGGGGAUACCUACAUACGACGAGAAGACCCUGUGGAGCUUUAGACACCAGGGCAGAUCACGUUACGCACACCUACACACAGGGCUACACCACAUGACCCCUGCCCCUAGUCUUCGGUUGGGGCGACCAUGGGGUACAAUACACCCCCCACGCGGAAUGGGAGUACCUAGCUCCUACAAACCCAGAGCCUCCACUCUAGUUGGCAGAAUCUCUCACCUACAGACCCGGCCAAGGCCGAUCAACGGACCAAGUUACCCCAGGGAUACCAGCGCAAUCCUCUUUUCGAGCCCAUAUCGACAAGAGGGUUUACGACCUCGAUGUUGGAUCAGGACAUCCUACUGGUGCAGCCGCUAUUACGGGUUCGUUUGUUCAACGAUUACAGUCCUACGUGAUCUGGUUUUCA
Molecule: ribosomal RNA, 550 nt
Filed under: Pomadasys kaakan (javelin grunt)
Lineage: Eukaryota; Metazoa; Chordata; Actinopteri; Lutjaniformes; Haemulidae
Description: partial large subunit ribosomal RNA
Rfam family: Bacterial large subunit ribosomal RNA
Source: RNAcentral